CAAGAUUCCAAAGGUAACAAAAACUCCUGCUCAUGACUUUGACUUUAAUUCUCUCGGUUGGGCUACUCCGGUAGACAAAGCAUUUUUUACUAUGACUAUUAUAAAAGGUGAUUAUAUUGACACCAUAUUCUAAUUGCAGUUAAAAUUUUUAAUCUUUGUUCAUUGUAAUAAUUAUUUUUUUAAUUUUUUCGUCGAAUUCUUAUCUUCAUUCUUCUAUUAAUUAGUACAUUUCAUUUUUAUGAUGAUUUUAUAUUAAAAUAUUUUAUUUUCAUGCUUUGAAAUGAGGGGAAAAUAUUUUUUCACACUUUUCAUAAUUUUUUAUUAAAUAUGAUGAAAAAUAAAUUGUUUUCGCCAUUUCAACGAACUUUUGGAUAUAAAACUGUUAUCAAAUACAAAAUAUGUUAACUAACGAAAAGUUUGAAGAUAAGAAUAACAUAUAAAACUAUUAUGAACAUAUGUGCUAUAAUGAGCAAAGACUACGAACAUUAAGUGCCAUUAAAAUGUGAUACAAUAAAUAAAAAUUGUGGUGAAUAUAAUUACUCUAUUGACAAGUUAACUCCAUAAUCGAAUUGAAAAUCGAUGAACAAUGACCACUUGGUUGGGUAUGUUAGAAAGAAUAUGUAAAGCCCAAAAAAAUUUUAUAGUAGGAUUAAUUGUUUUCAAUGCUAUAUUUUUAUUUAUUUAUUCAUUUUGAAAGUUGAAGGACUGUAGAGAAAUAAAUUUUAAAUUCUCACUUUUGGAUCAAAUAAUUAAACUUUAAUAGAGCUAGAAUUAGUAUGCAAAUUUUGGAUUUUGUAUAUAGCUUGUAUUAAAUAAUGUACACUGGAAUCAAGAAAUAAUUAUUUCGAAUAAGUUAUGUUCAUGUUAUUAAGGUCGAAAGAUAUUACGUAAAUUUACAAUUAAUUGUGUUAAUAAUGAUUUUAAAACCUUCCCAUCUGACACGUUUGUUGGAAAAAAUAAAAAUAAAAAAAAUUAAACAUCUUUCUUAAUUGAUCAUGAUUUUAUUGAUGGAAAGACAAAGUAACUCUCUUAUUUUUAGAAGAUUUGAAUGAUUUGUUAUAUAAUAUAUUUUGGACAACUUUUGGCAUAGUACACAACAAUUAUGAAUUGGUGCCACCAAUGUGUCAGUUGUCAUUGCUUUGCAAUUAGAUAAAGAGGAAAUUUCAUAGAAUGUCCAAUUUCAUCUAGUCAUUUGCAAAAAUGUCCACAUUUUUUUUAAUGUCCAUUUUCGAAUUAUUUAGACAAAAAUACCCCUGUUAGGAAAUUCUAUUUCCACGCCCAAGACUCUUGGUUCAUUUUCCCCCAAAUUAACCCCAAUUUCAUAACCCUCAGAUUCCAAAUCGAUUACAUUUACUUGCUGUGAAAUCUGAAGGAGCGAUUGGGAGGGAUCUAGGGCGAUUUCAUGGCUGAAGGAGAAGGAAGGGGCUGCCGGCCGGCGAUUGGGGAUUGGGCAAAUCUGAAGGGAAGGGAACGGCAGGUUGGCAGCGUAACAACGUUUUCUAUGGAAUGUGAGCCAUUUCUCUUCUCUCUCUUUUUUUUUUGGUUUUGUUUUUGUUUUAUGCCACUGUAUCCAUGAUUUAUCAUCUAUGUUAUGUGAUUUGUGAAUGUUGAAAAUUUUGAAUAUUGAGUUUGAGUUGAUGUUGACUUGGACUGUUCACUAUUACGGUGUUGUUUGUUACAUGUUGGAACUUGGAAGCAGAAGUUGGAAGUACUUGGAACUUGGGUUUGGCCGUUUGGGUCACUUUGAAAAAAUAUUUGAUUUUUGGGUAUUCUUCUAAGUCAAGAUCUGCUGUUGUUGGAUUUAUUUGUAUUCCAAGAAAAUCACAUGGUGAUGAGGCGACAAUAAUGAAUAAUCCCAAUAACUUCCCAAACCAUGAGACCAAAAAUGAUUACUUCUUAGAGAGUUUCGCAUUCAGAUUAGAAGCCAUAUUUAGGAUGUUAAACAACCUGCAAGAAUUUGUAAAAACCCUAUUUCAUCUUAUUUCAUUUCAAACUCCUAAAUGAAUCAGCAUCAAGAUAUCUAUUAGAUCUAUUUGUAAAAAUCAUAUUUCGUCUUAUUUCAUUUCAAACUCCUAAAUGAAUCAACAUCAGGAUAUGUAUAAGAUCAAUUUGUAAAAACUCUAUUUCAUAUCUCAUAUCAUUAAGUUACAUGAUUAAGUCACAGGAAAAAGACCUAUAAUUAAUUGCACUCUGUAAAUAAAUUCAAUAAAAUAAAGAAAUCUCAUUUACAUAUAUAUUGAAUAAUUUUUAAUAUUAUUUAAUCAAAUUUUAAUAAACGACCAAGCUAUUAUGCUUGUUGAUUGUCGACGGUCAAUGGAUAAUGGUCAACCUCCGCCCUAACUGGACUUUGGUGUUGGAUUCACCACUAAGUAGGGUAUAAGGUUUUAGAACUACCCAUUCUCUAUUUUUGCUUCAAUAACAUGAACUAUUUUAAAAUGUUUUGGUAUUAACCGAGAUUUGUUAUAAUUUCAACAAUUAAACAGCUUAGUUUAGAUAUGGUAUUUUAUCAAACCAUUGUAUUGUAAAAAUCAUUUUUCUUUUACUGCAUUAUAAACGAGAAUGCUAUAUUUGAUUUCGUUUGUACGUUCUCAUACUAUUUGUCAAAGUGUUGUUUUCAUUUCUUUUGAUUUGUAGAUGAGUAUGACACACCGAUAUGAAAUUUCGGAGGAAGAACUUGUUCCGACCCAUGUGUCGCAGGUGAGCAACACAAAAUACAUAUCAGUUGUCCUCAAUAACUUGGAUCCACAACAAAAGCGUAAGUUGGAGGAGAGUUGUAUAGGACAUGUUGCAAAGUUAUCGGAGCUGAAACUAUCUGCUCAAUUAAUUCAUGAAAUGGUAAACAAAUCGGUGGUCUGCCGAAAGCGGUUUGAGGCUUGGUUCAACGUGAACCAAAGGUUUGCACGAUUUGGACUGUCAGAGUUCGCACUAAUUACCGGCUUGAAGUGCGAUCCAAUGCCUAAAGGUACCGAAAUUGACAAAAUCCUAGAGAAAACUCAUCUAUAGAAUAGAAUGUUUGCUAAUAUGGACCGGAUAACUUGUAGCGACUUCGAGAAAGUUUUUUUGAAAUGUGCCAACCGUAACAAUCGUUACAAGCUUGGGUUAAUACUAAUUAUUGAAGCGAUAUUUAAUUUAAGAGAUCGAAAUGUAGGAAUACAUCUGACAACUCUCUCCAUCGUUGACGACUUGGAUUUUUUCAAUGUCUACCCAUGGGAAACGGUAUGUUUUCAACUUCUCAUCAAAUCACUGGUACGUGGAUGGAGAAGAAAUGCGGACAUGGUAAAAGUAAACAAUUGUGAUAGGAUGACUUACACGUUGUACGGAUUUCCUCUUCGUGUCUAGGUAUACAUCUAUUUUGGUUCAUUUCAGUUCUUUUCAUCGCACAUUGUUAUUUACCUCCAAAUAUGGUUAUUACUGUUAUAAAUGUCAUGCAGAUUUCGGCGUAUGAGGCAAUCCCAGAGUUAGGAGCUCGAUUCUCAAGUAAGACUUGUGACGAUGUCCCGAGAAUGUUGCGGUGGUCUGACACGAAACAACCUCAUUCUCGGACAUAUUCAGAUUUUUUUGAGAAGACAGAUAUAAGCGAUUUACAUACAUAAUUGCCUUACACUUUUGCAAUAUAUAAUAUUUUAUUUAGCCUAUUUUUCCUUUCCCUAUAGGUGCACUUGUGGGUAACGCUGCGUGCAACUACUGCAGAAGAAUUGUAACCGUACUUCACCGAUCUAAUUCCAUUGGAAGACGCAGCUGAACCAAUUCGAGAUGGUCUUAUUGGUCAAUCAGUAGAAAUACAAGCUUGUUCAGUUGAAGAUGAUGUCAUAUGGAAUGAUGAAAACAACCAUCGACCAAAUAAAUCCCAAAGAGGCAACAAACGUGGACCUCGUCAUCGAGGUUUGCAUCACGUUGAAGGCAGAGAAGAAGAGCAUGGGGAUCCGAUCAUCGAAAGGCCUGUGCGUUUAGAUGAGAUAAGAGCUAUCUUGAACGAACAACGAGAGGCAUUUUAGAGCAAAAUGGGUGAUUUGAGGGAAUAGAUGAACACAAGAUUCGCUAGUCUCCAAAAUGAUCUUGGAGGUCAUGUGUGUGGUUUGAGAAAUCAUGUCACUGAUGAGAUCAAUGUGCUUCGACGAAGGUUUGAUGAAGUUGCUAUAGAAAUUGGGCAACACAAUGUUGCUGCUGAGUAUGGUGGAUUUGGUCAUGACGAUCGCGGUGGAGACGAGACCCGACGUGAUGUUUUAACCCUCAAUAUUUCUGCGAACAGACAGGAUGUUGGAGAGGCAACUGUACUAGUUGUUUGCAAUAUCCUUGAUGUGUCCAUAACGUCGGGAGGUGGGGUUGGAGCACUUGCGUCAGUAUAUGUUGCUUGUGAUAUUGUGAAAGAGGCACCAGCCAUUGUACCUACAGUUGGUGUGACCGUUGAUGAUCAGCUGGUUCAUGAUAGUGUCGUUUUUGGACCUUUGAUGGCAGCUGAUCCACCUACACGUAGACCUCGAUCGUUGAGGUUGAAGAAGGCUUGUGCGAACAUAAAAAUGUCAUACACCCGAUCUGGUCGCAAGAGGGGUAAGAGGGAUACGUAAUCUGUGUAUUUUGGUUGACGGCACAUAAUGGUGAUUGGAUAUGAACUUCAGGUUGACUCGAAUUGAGAGGUUCUCAUAUUUGGGUUUAUAUAGUGGUUUUUCAAUGUGUAUUUUGGUUUAUGUAGUGGUACGUAAUAUGUAUUUUGGUUUACACAGUGAUUUGCAUAUUUUUGUUUAUAUGGUGG
This 4750-nucleotide long non-coding RNA is filed under the name Olea europaea subsp. europaea. Lineage: Eukaryota; Viridiplantae; Streptophyta; Magnoliopsida; Lamiales; Oleaceae. The record is from RNAcentral.